AGUGAACGCUGGCGGUAGGCCUAACACAUGCAAGUCGAACGGCAGCACAGUAAGAGCUUGCUCUUACGGGUGGCGAGUGGCGGACGGGUGAGGAAUACAUCGGAGUCUACUUUUUCGUGGGGGAUAACGUAGGGAAACUUACGCUAAUACCGCAUACGACCUACGGGUGAAAGCAGGGGAUCUUCGGACCUUGCGCGAUUGAAUGAGCCGAUGUCGGAUUAGCUAGUUGGCGGGGUAAAGGCCCACCAAGGCGACGAUCCGUAGCUGGUCUGAGAGGAUGAUCAGCCACACUGGAACUGAGACACGGUCCAGACUCCUACGGGAGGCAGCAGUGGGGAAUAUUGGACAAUGGGCGCAAGCCUGAUCCAGCCAUACCGCGUGGGUGAAGGAGGCCUUCGGGUUGUAAAGCCCUUUUGUUGGGAAAGAAAAGCAGCAGGUUAAUACCCCGCUGUUCUGACGGUACCCAAAGAAUAAGCACCGGCUAACUUCGUG
Molecule: ribosomal RNA, 492 nt
Filed under: uncultured bacterium
Lineage: Bacteria
Description: partial 16S ribosomal RNA
Rfam family: Bacterial small subunit ribosomal RNA
Source: RNAcentral